This 253-nucleotide ribosomal RNA is filed under the name uncultured bacterium. RNAcentral describes it as "partial 16S ribosomal RNA". It matches the Rfam family "Bacterial small subunit ribosomal RNA", at positions 524 to 776 of the family's 1533-position model. The record is from RNAcentral.
UACAGGGGGGGCAAGCGUUGUUCGGAAUUACUGGGCGUAAAGGGCCAGUAGGCGGCCAACUAAGUCACACGUGAAAUCCCCAGGCUUAACCUGGGAACUGCGUGUGAUACUGGAUGGCCUGAAUUCGGGAGAGGGAUGCAGAAUUCCAGGUGUAGCGGUGAAAUGCGUAGAUAUCUGGAGGAAUACCGGUGGCGAAGGCGGCAUCCUGGACCGACAUUGACGCUGAGGAGCGAAAGCGUGGGGAGCGAACAGG